RNAcentral lists this ribosomal RNA (823 nucleotides) under uncultured bacterium. RNAcentral describes it as "bacterial SSU rRNA". It matches the Rfam family "Bacterial small subunit ribosomal RNA", at positions 8 to 796 of the family's 1533-position model. The record is from RNAcentral.
AGAGUUUGAUCCUGGCUCAGGACUAACGCUGGCGGCGUGCCUAACACAUGCAAGUCGAACGGUUCCGAUGAAACCGCAAGGUGACAUCGGGAUAGUGGCAAACGGGUGAGUAAUACAUAGGUAAUUUACCUCUCACACAGGCAUAACCUCGAGAAAUUGAGGCUAAUUCCUGAUAGUUCCGGAAAAGUGAAAUUCUUUUUCGGAUAAAGAUUCCCCCCGAUAAAUCGGGGGAGAUGAUGAGAGAUAAGCCUGUGUCCUAUCAGCUUGUUGGUGAGGUAACAGCUCACCAAGGCGAUGACGGGUAGCUGGUCUGAAAGGAUGGUCAGCCACAGGGGAACUGAGACACGGUCCCCACUCCUACGGGAGGCAGCAGUGAGGAAUCUUGGACAAUGGGCGAAAGCCUGAUCCAGCGACGCMGCGUGGAGGAUGAAGGUCUUCGGAUUGUAAACUCCYUUUGCGGGAGACGAAGUCUUUCCGAUGUUAUGUCGGGAGGGUUGACGGUAUUCCGCGAAUAAGCCACGGCUAACUACGUGCCAGCAGCCGCGGUAAUACGUAGGUGGCGAGCGUUGUCCGGAAUUAUUAGGUGUAAAGAGCGUGUAGGUGUUCGGGUAAGCUCCAGUUGAAAUUCUCCUGCUUAACAGGAUGAACGGGCUGGAGAACUACCCGGAUUGAGUACGGGAGAGGGGAUUGGAAUUCCCGGUGUAGCGGUGAAAUGCGUAGAGAUCGGGAGGAACACCAAUGGCGAAGGCAGGUCCCUGGCCCGUUACUGACACUGAGAGGCGAAAGCUAGGGGAGCAAACAGGAUUAGAUACCCUGGUAGUCC